Gluconacetobacter sp. SXCC-1 is the source of this 73-nucleotide non-coding RNA. NCBI's taxonomy places the organism in Bacteria, Pseudomonadati, Pseudomonadota, Alphaproteobacteria, Acetobacterales, Acetobacteraceae. The record is from Rfam.
GUCCCGUUCGUCUAGAGGCCUAGGACGCCGCCCUCUCACGGCGGCAACACGAGUUCGAAUCUCGUACGGGACG